CUAAAUCCUCUAAUUGCUAAUUAAUAAAAAAAACAAGCAAGAAACAAGCCCAACAAAAUUGGGAUCGGGCCUAUGCACUGCAGUACCAAGGGGGUGUAAAAAUAGAUCCAUGUUAUUGUGCAUGGGCCUCACAUUAGAGGCCCAUUCGCCAAUGUGCAUAGGAGUGAGGGGGUACGGGAAGCAAUACAAAUGUGUGGAUUGGAAAUGCUUAGGCCUCAAGCCCAAGCCUUACACGGUCAAGCACGGUCCACAUUGUGAGAAAAGAUUCAUGAAACUUUCAGCACGCGUUGGAUACUCUUCUUCAUCGCUUUCAAUCCUCCUCGCUUUCGCUCUCCCGUUUCGAAUGCUCGCCGAACAACAUAGGUAUGAAACGAAGCCUAAUCACUGUCACUAAAUUCCUAUUUCAAUUUUAGUUCAUCAUCAUCCCCCCUGAAUCGGAACUACGAGAUCCCACGCCGAAAUCCAAAUCUCUACAUCGUGUGAUAUCUUGUGCGCGAAAUUGAAGGUGAAUCGAAGCAUGCUCGUGUUCAGGGGAGGUGCAUCAAUAAUUGAAGUGAACGAUGGAAGAAACUUACCGGAGUGGAAAUCCGACACGGAGGCCCUCCGGCGAAUCACAGUGAAUCUUUGUAGAACUUGAAUGAAGGUUGAGUUGUGAACUGGUUGAAGAUAGAGAGUGAACUGGUUGAAGAUUGAGAGUGAAGAAUCUGAAGAAUGAAUUUUUGAGAGUGAAGAAGCUGAAGAAUGAAUUUUUGACAGUGAAGAGUGAAUUUAUAAUGGUGAUUGAGUUAACAGAAGGUUAACUCUGUUUGCUUGCUUUUAUUGAAAGUUGUUAGAAGUUAGAUCACAAUGUUAGAAUGUUAGUUAUGUUAGUUAGAUAUUCAGAUUCAGUUAGGGCAAAUUUGGAAGGAGAUGGUGAUAACUAACUUUGAGUCGUGUCCAUUUUGUUAGUGGAAAAUGUCAGUUAAGUCAUGAGAAUUCAGUUAGACACUUUUCAAUUAGAAUGAUAUGGAUCUGCUGGAUUGUUUGCCCUCAAGAAUUAUGUUGCUGAUGUGGUAUUAUUCAUAUUGGUAGUCUGCUAUGUGUUACCCUGUUACAUGAAUUUGAAAUUAUCAAGUUGUUGUUAGUUAUAUCUGAAUCAUUGAAUACUGAUUUGCCUUGCUAAUAUGGUUGGAGGAUGUUGCAUUGCACAAUGUUGGACAUGAUUUGGUAUGCUACUGCUUGGUCCUGCUUUCAGCAAGGGCAUAGCAAGAUGCCCCAAUCUCAUCUUGGCCAGUCAUGAAGAUAAGGAUGUCACCUAGAGGGCCUGUUAUAUGAAUAGUUCUAGCUUGCAGCUUCAACAUAAUCUCCACAUGGAGUUUUUCUCUAUAAUACAUUGGCAAGAAAUGUUCUCCCAGGACUAUGACAGAUCAGACCACUUCCAAAGACAUUUGAUAAUUUAUGUGCAUUCAGAGUAGCUGAUGUAACAAUCAGCUUGCAAUCACAACAUUGGGCUACAACUUCCUUCAAAGACAUUUGUGCUUCAUGAUCUUCCAUGGGCCUCGUCUAUCACAAUGACCCUGUACUUGUCUGAACCAGAACUUUUAAGUGUUUCCUGCAUAAGUAUCCCAUUUAUCAUGUACUUUAUGGUAUUUGGUUACAGGUUUGCGAAUUGGAUCGUUAGUUGUUAUUAUCAUGGUUGUUGUAGACUUGGUUAGGAUGCAUUUGAAUGUUGUAGUUCAAUAUGUUGGAAUGGUUAUGAUGUUAAGUGAUAUCAUGGAAUAAUGUUGAAAUGUUGUGUUAAA
Molecule: long non-coding RNA, 1781 nt
Organism: Lathyrus oleraceus (garden pea)
Lineage: Eukaryota; Viridiplantae; Streptophyta; Magnoliopsida; Fabales; Fabaceae
Exons: 2
Source: RefSeq, a predicted model, not a curated record